GGCGAGUGAAGCGGCAAAAGCUCAAAUUUGAAAUCUGCCUUACGGCCGAGUUGUAAUUUGUAGAUGGUAACUCUGUGGCAAGCCUUUGCUCAAGUUUUCUGGAAAGAAACAUCAUGGAGGGUGACAAUCCCGUGAGGCAUUGGUGCAGCUACGUGUAGAGUGCUAUCAAAGAGUCGAGUUGUUUGGGAAUGCAGCUCAAAGUGGGUGGUAGACACCAUCUAAAGCUAAAUAUUGGCGAGAGACCGAUAGCGAACAAGUACUGUGAAGGAAAGAUGAAAAGCACUUUGAAAAGAGAGUGAAAAAGUACGUGAAAUUAUUGAUACAGAAGGGUAUAAAAUUGGACUCAAGGUCUAGGUUCGGUAGCCUCUCGGGGUUGCUUUGUCCUAGGCCCUAAACCAGCAUCAGUUUUGGCAGGUGGAUAAACAACAUGGAAUGUAGCUGCUUGCAGUGUUAUAGACUUGUUGCAUACACCUUGCUGGGACUGAGGACCGCC
RNAcentral lists this ribosomal RNA (493 nucleotides) under Wickerhamiella azyma. RNAcentral describes it as "partial large subunit ribosomal RNA". It matches the Rfam family "Eukaryotic large subunit ribosomal RNA", at positions 88 to 593 of the family's 3401-position model. The record is from RNAcentral. Lineage: Eukaryota; Fungi; Ascomycota; Dipodascomycetes; Dipodascales; Trichomonascaceae.